CCGUUCUUGUGUUAUUUGCUGGUUGUUUUUUUUAUAAACCAGCGAUUGUCAAACAGAACGCAUAGUAAGCAAAGGCAGCUAAAUCACUCCACAAUGUUGAGCCGUCAUUAACCAGGGCUGCUGCAUUACUAAAUGCUUGCCACAUUU
This is a small nucleolar RNA of Drosophila kikkawai, 147 nucleotides long. RefSeq annotates it as small nucleolar RNA psi18S-1377. Lineage: Eukaryota; Metazoa; Arthropoda; Insecta; Diptera; Drosophilidae. The record is from RefSeq and is a predicted model, not a curated record.